ACGUUAGCGGCGGACGGGUGAGUAACACGUGGGUAACCUACCUAUAAGACUGGGAUAACUUCGGGAAACCGGAGCUAAUACCGGAUAAUAUUUCGAACCGCAUGGUUCGAUAGUGAAAGAUGGUUUUGCUAUCACUUAUAGAUGGACCCGCGCCGUAUUAGCUAGUUGGUAAGGUAACGGCUUACCAAGGCGACGAUACGUAGCCGACCUGAGAGGGUGAUCGGCCACACUGGAACUGAGACACGGUCCAGACUCCUACGGGAGCAGCAGAU
Molecule: ribosomal RNA, 272 nt
Filed under: uncultured Staphylococcus sp.
Lineage: Bacteria; Bacillati; Bacillota; Bacilli; Caryophanales; Staphylococcaceae
Description: partial 16S ribosomal RNA
Rfam family: Bacterial small subunit ribosomal RNA
Source: RNAcentral